This 468-nucleotide ribosomal RNA is filed under the name uncultured bacterium. RNAcentral describes it as "partial 16S ribosomal RNA". It matches the Rfam family "Bacterial small subunit ribosomal RNA", at positions 28 to 507 of the family's 1533-position model. The record is from RNAcentral.
GACGAACGCUGGCGGCGUGCUUAACACAUGCAAGUCGAACGGAAAGGCCCUGCUUUUGUGGGGUGCUCUAGUGGCGAACGGGUGAGUAACACGUGAGUAACCUGCCCUUGACUUUGGGAUAACUUCAGGAAACUGGGGCUAAUACCGGCUAGGAGCUCCUGCUGCAUGGUGGGGGUUGGAAAGUUUCGGCGGUUGGGGAUGGACUCGCGGCGUAUCAGCUUGUUGGUGGGGUAGUGGCUUACCAAGGCUUUGCCGGGUAGCCGGCCUGAGAGGGUGACCGGACACAUUGGGACUGAGAUACGGCCCAGACUCGUACGGGAGGGAGAAGUGGGGAAGAUUACACAAUGGGAGGAAGCCUGAUGCAGCCACGCCGCGUGGGGGAUGACGGCCUUCGGGUUGUAUACCGCUUUCGCCUGUGACGAAGCGUGAGUGACGGUAAUGGGUAAAGAAGCACCGGCUAACUACGUG